GGCUAGUCCGAAGGUAGUAAGUUAUCUCACUUGAUUGUUCGCAGUCAGUUACAGAUUGAACUCCUUGUUCUACUACUUUCCCCCCCUCCUCACUACUGCACUUGACUAGUCUUUA
This 115-nucleotide Y RNA is filed under the name Microcebus murinus (gray mouse lemur). Its description in RNAcentral is "Y RNA (ENSMICG00000042612.1)". It matches the Rfam family "Y RNA". Rfam says of the family: Y RNAs are components of the Ro ribonucleoprotein particle (Ro RNP), in association with Ro60 and La proteins. The Y RNAs and Ro60 and La proteins are well conserved, but the function of the Ro RNP is not known. In humans the RNA component can be one of four small RNAs -- hY1, hY3, hY4 and hY5. The record is from Rfam by way of RNAcentral. Lineage: Eukaryota; Metazoa; Chordata; Mammalia; Primates; Cheirogaleidae.